CAAGCGGUGGAGCAUGUGGUUUAAUUCGAUGGUACGCGAGGAACCUUACCUGGGUUUGACAUACAGUGUGAUAGGUCAGAGAUGAUCUAGCGUAGCAAUACGACGCUGUACAGGUGCUGCAUGGCUGUCGUCAGCUCGUGCCGUGAGGUGUUGGGUUAGGUCCCGCAACGAGCGCAACCCCUACUGCCAGUUACUAACAGGUGAAGCUGAGGACUCUGGCGGAACUGCCGGUGACAAACCGGAGGAAGGUGGGAUGACGUCAAGUCAUCAUGGCCCUUAUGUCCAGGGCUACACACGUGCUACAAUGGGUGAGACAGAGUGACGCGAAGCCGCGAGGUGGAGCAAAUCGCAGAAAACCUGUCUCAGUCCGGAUUGAAGUCUGCAACUCGACUUCAUGAAGGCGGAAUCGCUAGUAACCGCGAAUCAGCAGGUCGCGGUGAAUACGUUCCCGGGCCUU
This 457-nucleotide ribosomal RNA is filed under the name uncultured Spirochaetaceae bacterium. RNAcentral's name for it is "bacterial SSU rRNA". It matches the Rfam family "Bacterial small subunit ribosomal RNA", at positions 926 to 1382 of the family's 1533-position model. Lineage: Bacteria; Pseudomonadati; Spirochaetota; Spirochaetia; Spirochaetales; Spirochaetaceae. The record is from RNAcentral.